GUCGCAGUUUCGACAACCAGGUGAUACUGCAGCUUGCAAAACCGAAUUAAAAGCGCCGGGCGAAGGAGGCGCAGGGCAGGUAUGGUCGCCCACAGAUAACGAAUGACCUUACACAGGACUGGUCUGACAGCAUGCUUCCCUACAACCACUAAGCGGAAUUUAUAAAGAUGGAUACCCGCGCCGUCUGGACGUAAGUAUGCUAGUUUCAUUAAGAUUAAUUUUCUUUACUAUCGCUACAGUUAUCUCUAUUCCAUUAGUAAAAUAUUUAACAUUAUAGAAAAAAAAAUACAAAAAAUACAUAUUUCCGAAACAGAGGAUAUUAAAAUUUUUGAAACUUUCGUUGUAUCUUAAUACUUAUUAAGUACCUAUCUAUAAUUAAUUCUGAGAUUUUGAAGUUGUUUAUAAAAUGUUUAUCUCGAUGACGUUUGUUUGUGCAAAUAUUUACAUUACAGAGAUAACAUUUGGCGACCACCUAGAUCAAGGUGAACUUUAUCUCGAAUCCCCACUAUUAAGUCCGCAAUAUUUUUAUUACAGAACCAUAAGGCAUAAAAUUAUUGUCUAUGAAAUUUCUCUAGACUCUAUAUCUUUGGAACCUCUUUGAUAAUUGACACAAUGAUUGACACAUGGUUCUAUUUUUGGAUACCUAAUCAAUAAUAAAAUCUGUGAA
This is a long non-coding RNA of Colias croceus (clouded yellow), 667 nucleotides long. RefSeq lists it as uncharacterized. The record is from RefSeq and is a predicted model, not a curated record. Lineage: Eukaryota; Metazoa; Arthropoda; Insecta; Lepidoptera; Pieridae. The transcript is spliced from 3 exons.